RNAcentral lists this long non-coding RNA (12239 nucleotides) under Pelobates cultripes (western spadefoot toad). The record is from RNAcentral. Lineage: Eukaryota; Metazoa; Chordata; Amphibia; Anura; Pelobatidae.
CACCCACCCUAAUUUAUGUUUUGUUUUUGUUUUGUUUUUUGUUUUGUUUUGUCACAGCUAGCGGGGAGCAUGUCCUUGCCAACAGGGUUGGGGAGCAGAUGGAAUGUCAGGAGAUGGACAAGGUGGGUCUCAACCUCCCCUGCUCUGUAAGGUAAACUUUCAAGUUACCGAAUUGGAAGUGCCCACCGAGCUAAGAGCCGGCUGGUGGUUAGAGCAUUUAAGAUGAUGGGAAUUUGGUUUGGACGAGGGGGGAGGCGAGACACCAGUGGGUAAAGUUUUUGGUGCAUAGGCACCUAGUUAAGUUCGUUGGCAAGGACGGUUAUUUAAGUUGAAGGCUGUAGGGCUAUAAGUGUUAAUUUAUUGUUAAUUAUGGUAUGUAUAUAUAUUUAUGUGUUUAUCUAUAUUGGAAUUAGAGGAAAAGAAUGAAGUUCGGAUGUGUCCUACAGUUGUAAGUUUUAAUAAAUGCUGUGACCUGUUUCAUCCAAUAUGCAUUGUCUGUCAUUAUUGGGGGGAUAAGUGGGUAGUCUUUCUUUUAGUCGCACCACAUUCCCCGCUACGUACAUACAUGUAUUUUUAAUACAAAGUCAUGUGUUGUUUAAGACUUUCAGCAGCAUCGCUAGUCACCAAGAAAGAGGGAGAUUUACAUUGAGAUAUACACAUUAGAGAAAUAUGUCUUUGUAUAAAAAGAUUCUACAAAAAUUGUGCGUGGAACGGAGGCGCAGCAUGUAGUCCUGUGGAGCUGCCUUCACUGGCAACAAAAGCAGGAAGCUUUUUGCAACAAAAAACAAACGCUCUCGAUGAGUCAUUCAGGAAAUGUAAACCUCAAUAUAUCCUGUAGAGAAGGAAGGCAAUCUGAAUUAUAUUCCGCACAUAAUAUUAGUAUGUAGAACAGGCCUGAAGAUAAUCCACAGAAUGAUAUAGAGAUUAAUUACUAAAACAUGGUGGACUCUAACAAAGAAGCUGGUUAUUAAAACCCAAGUUGAGAAGCUUAAACUGAGAGGUUGAGUCCUAAAAGUCCUGUAAUGUUCUGUAAUGAGUUUUCCCUUUUCUUUGUCUCUGCUUCAAAUUGACUGUUGGGAAAGGGCUGCUGGACGGAGGCUGAGUGCCAAAUAGACAAGGUGAAUGGCAGCUUCAUUUAUCCAGGGCUGUAAAACACAACUCACACUGACAGACAGAUACAGACUCAGAGCAAUGUUAGUCUACACUCAGCAGCUUCAUGAUCACACAUAGCUCUAGCCGACAGACACAUAAUUCCCUGGGAGAGACACACUCACAGUCUGAGUCCAAAGGCAAACGUUCCAGAAAGAUUUAGCUUCAGACAUUACUUUUGUCCAAGAUGAGCUAUUAUCAUACUUUUAUUGUAAUGCACCAACACAUUCUGCCGUGCUGCUCAUGGUUACAAUUGGUACAAGUAAAAAGACAAAGGUACAAUACAUCUAACAGACAAAAUAAAAUUUGACAAACAAAUAUAAGAGGAGUUGAGGAUCCUAUUUCUAUGGGAACGAACAAUCUAGAUGGAUCUUCAGUUUCACCUCAUUAAAAUAUAACUUGAAUUUAGAGUUGUGUUUCUUGCAUAAUAUGUAACAUAAUCAUAUAUAAAAUGUAACAAGACUGCACAUUAACACAGUGAUCGCUGCAUCUCCCUUGAAACAACCAUCAGCUGAAAACUUUUGGAAGUGGGUUCCAACUCGCCCUGCAGUUCAUUAUAAGCAGCGGCUCCUGUGUGGUCAAUGUCUCCAGCUAUCGGGCAGCAAUGAGGACUGUACAGCACUGUCUCACUGUCGAGAACAUUCAGAGACGAUCUGCACAGCAGCUCUGUAACUACAGCUUCACUCAUCCAUGGCUGUUUAACAAUCCUCGCACUUAGCCAGGGCAUUAUAAUAGGAAACCCACUAAAAGCUGUGCUCAGAGCCCCAUCAUAUGAUAAAAAUGUCCUGUUUGUAGUCUUUUCCUGGUGUCCUUUACAUUGGAUCUUCCCCUGGUCACAAUUUGUGUUCACUGUGUUCUCUCUCACGUCUCUGCUGGUGAAUGUUUAAUGUCUGAGCUUUCAGUCUAGUGUGAGAGUUGAAGCUGGCAGGGACUUCCCCUAAACCUCGCCUCUCCUGAAAGCAAGCAUAGCAGUCACAGAAUAACAGCAUAAAUCUGCUCCGGAGCUUCAUUCCCUGCUCCGGAGCUUCUCUUUAACUUUAAUAUUUCUCUUUAACUUGACGUCUUAUGUGCAGAUUUCAAUAUACUGGGGUGUGAUCUACGGAUCAUGCUACCAUACUAAUGAAUAUCACAUAGAGGUUCUGAACCACAAACUGGCUACUGUUAAAUGGCUGACAGAGUGAUUGUAUAUGUAUACCAUGGAUAACUGUAUAUUUAAUGGAAACAUAUGUCUACAUUGCGGCCAGCGUACCUUUGAUUUCGUUUUAUCACAAAUGCAAAAAUUCAAUAAACACAGAUUUACAACAACUACAAAAAGAAUUUAAUAGUGACUACUCUACCAUCUUUUCUGAUACUGAUUGAAACAUUUUAAAUGUAGUCAGGUGUAAGCAGUAAUGUACAAAGGCCACCACACACAUCACACAACGGGCAACAUCUUAUGGCUUCAGAAGUCCACCAAAAAUAUCCAUUAAACAGUCAUCAUAUUAGUGUCCACCAAAAAUAUCCAUUAAACAGUCAUCAUAUUAGUGACAUCACACUCUAAGAGCCUGUUUGCACUCCAUGCUGGUAGAACUUUGUAUCCGAUUCCCUUUCUUUAUGAUUCGUGUGACGUCAUGUUAAAGAGAAAAAUGUGUUGAAUAUGAGAAGUGAAAAGAGAGUGUUAUCACUGACACACACCAUGGAAAUGAAGCUCCAGGCAGUCAAUUUGAAACAAAGAAAAGACACCAUACAUUGCAUUAAGCAUUUUCCCUUAUAUAAGACAGCAUUAACUGCCACCAUUCCACAUUCAGUAUCAAAUAUCUUUGGAUUUUUUUCUACUGUGCAAAAAAUGUCAACAAAUGUUUAAAUGCAUAAUAUGUAACCAGACUGCCUGCGUUUGGCACAUUAACACAUGAGCCCUGCGCGCGACACCAGGCAACGCAUGAGCCCCGUGGGCGACACCAGGCAACGCAUGAGCCCCGUGGGCGACACCAGGCAACGCAUGAGCCCUGUGCCCGUCACUAGACAACUCAUGAGCCCAGCGCGCGUCACCAGGCCACACAUGAGGCCUGCACGCAUCACCAGGCAAAAAAUGAGGCCCACGCGCAUCAUCAGGCAAAAAAUGAACCCCGCGCGCGUCAUCAGGCAAAACAUGAGCCCCUCGCGCGUCACCAGGCAAAACAUGAGCCGUGAGCGUCACCAGGCAAAACAUAAGCCGCGCGAGUCACAAGGCAAAAAAAUGAGCCCCCGCGAGCUGGUGCCUGGUGACGUGUGGCGGGGCUCAUUUAUUGCCUUGUGACGCGAGCGGCUUAUGUUUUGCCUGGUGAUGCUCGCGGCUCAUGUUUUGCCUGGUGACGCGCGCAGGGCUCAUGUGUUGCCUGGUGAGGCACGCGGGGCUCAUUUGUUGCCUGGUGACGCGUGCGGGGCUCAUGUGCUGAGUGGUGAUGCGCGCGGGGCUCAGGUGUUGACUGGUGAUGUGCAUGGGGUUCAUGGGUUGCCUGGUGACGGCGGGGCUCAUGUGUUGCGAGGUGACGGGCGCGGGGCUCAUGUGUUGCGUGGUGACGCGAGCGGGGCUUAAUGUGUUGCCUGGUGAUGCGCGCGGGACUCAUGUUUUGCGAGGUGAUGCGCAUGGGGCUCUUUUGUUGCAUGGUGACGUGCGUGGGGCUUAAUGUGUUGCAUGGUGACGUGCGCGUGGCUUAAUGUGUUGUAUGGUGACGCGCGCAGGGCUCAUGUGUUGCGUGGUGACGGGCGCGGGACUCAUGUGUUGCAUGGUGACGGCUGCUGGGCUAAUGUGUUGCCUGGUGAUGCGCGCGGCUCAUGUGUUGCCUGGUGACGCGCGGGGCUCAUGUCGCAUUGUGAUGCGCGCUGGGCUCAUGUGUUGCCUGGUGACGCGCGGGGCUCAUGUGUCGCCUGAUGAUGCGCGAGGGGCUCAUGUGUUUCCUGGUGACGUGCACUGGGCUCAUGUGUUGCGUGGUGUUACUCACGGGGCUCAUGUGUUGUUUGGUGAUGCGCGCGAGGCUCAUUUAUUGCCUGGUGACGCGCGCGGCUCAUGUUUUGCCUGGUGACGCGAGGGGCUCAUGUGUUGCCAGGUGAUGUGCGUGGGGCUCAUGUGUUGCCUGGUGAUGCGCAGAGCUCAUGUGUUGCGAGGUGAUGCGCACGGGGCUCAUUUGUUUCCUGGUGACGCGUGCGUCUCAUGUUUUGCCUGGUGACGGCUGCUGGGCUAAUGUGUUGCCUGGUGACGCGCGCGGCUCAUGUGUUGCCUGGUGAGGCGCGCUGGGCUCAUGUGUUGCCUAGUGACGCGCGGGGCUCAUGUCGCAUUGUGAUGCGCGCUGGGCUCAUGUGUUGCCUGGUGACGCGCGGGGCUCAUGUGUCGCCUGAUGAUGCGCGAGGGGCUCAUGUGUUUCCUGGUGACGUGCACUGGGCUCAUGUGUUGCGUGGUGUCACUCACGGGGCUCAUGUNNNNNNNNNNNNNNNNNNNNNNNNNNNNNNNNNNNNNNNNNNNNNNNNNNNNNNNNNNNNNNNNNNNNNNNNNNNNNNNNNNNNNNNNNNNNNNNNNNNNUCAUGUGUUGCCUGGUGACGUGCGCGGGGCUCAUGUGUUGCCUGGUGACGGGCCCUGGGCUAAUGUCUUGCCUGGUGAUGCGCGCGGCUCAUGUGUUGCCUGGUGACGCGCGCGGCUCAUAUUUUGCCUGGUGACGGGAGCUGGGCUAAUGUGUUGCGAAGUGACAGGCCCUGGGCUAAUGUCUUGCCUGGUGAUGCGCGCGGCUUAUAUGUUGCCUGGUGACGGACGCAGGGCUCAUGUGUUGCCUGGUGACGGGCACGGGACUCAUGUGUUUCCUGGUGACACGCACUGGGUUCAUGUGUUGCCUGGUGACGUGCGCGGGGCUCAUGUGUUGCCUGGUGACGGGCCCUGGGCUAAUGUCUUGCCUGGUGAUGCGCGCGGCUCAUGUGUUGCCUGGUGACGCGCGCGGCUCAUAUUUUGCCUGGUGACGGGAGCUGGGCUAAUGUGUUGCGAAGUGACAGGCCCUGGGCUAAUGUCUUGCCUGGUGAUGCGCGCGGCUUAUAUGUUGCCUGGUGACGGACGCAGGGCUCAUGUGUUGCCUGGUGACGGGCACGGGACUCAUGUGUUUCCUGGUGACACGCACUGGGUUCAUGUGUUGCCUGGUGACGUGCGCGGGGCUCAUGUGUUGCCUGGUGACGGGCCCUGGGCUAAUGUCUUGCCUGGUGACGCGCGCGGCUCAUGUGUUGCCUGGUGACGCGCGCGGCUCAUAUUUUGCCUGGUGACGGGCGCUGGGCUAAUGUGUUGCCUGGUGACGCGUGCGGGGUUCAUGUUUUGCGAGGUGUCACACGUGGGGCUCAUUUGUUGCCUGGUGACGCGUGCGGCUCAUAUUUUGUCUGGUGACACGGAUGGAGCUCCGGUGUUGCCUGGUGAUGGGCGCGGGGCUCUUGUGUGUCCUGGUGAUGCACGCGGGGCUCAUAUGUUGCCUUGUGAUGCGCACUGGGCUAAUGUGUUGCCUGGUGAUGUGCGCGGCUCAUGUGUUGCCUUGUGAUGGGCGCGGGGCUCAUGUGUUGCCUUGUGAUGGGCGCGGUGCUCAUUUGUUGCCUGGUGACGGGCCCUGGGCUAAUGUUCUGCCUGGUGACGCGCGGCUCAUGUGUUGCCCGGCGACGCGUGCGGGGCUCAUGUGUUUCCUGGUGACAGGCCAUGGGCUAAUGUCUUGCCUGGUGACGCGCGCGGCUCAUCUGUUGGCUCAUGUGUUGCUCAUGUCUUGCCUGAUGACGCGCGGCUCAUCUGUUGGCUCAUGUGUUGCUCAUGUCUUGCCUGAUGACGCGCGCGGCUCAUGUGUUGCCUGGUGACGGGCGCUGGGCUAAUGUGUUGCCUGGUGACGGGUGCGGGGUUCAUGUGUUGCGAGGUGUCACACGUGGGGCUCAUUUGUUGCCUGGUGAUGCGUGCGGCUCAUAUUUUGUCUGGUGACACGGAUGGAGCUCAGGUGUUGCCUGGUGAUGGGCGCGGGGCUCUUGUGUGUCCUGGUGAUGCACGCGGGGCUCAUAUGUUGCCUUGUGACCCGCGCUGGGCUAAUGUGUUGCCUGGUGAUGUGCGCGGCUCAUUUGUUGCCUUGUAAUGGGCGCAGGGCUCAUGUGUUGCCUUGUGAUGGGCGCGGGGCUCAUUUGUUGCCUGGUGACGGGCCCUGGGCUAAUGUUCUGCCUGGUGAAGCGCGGCUCAUGUGUUGCCCGGCGACGCGUGCGGGGCUCAUGUGUUUCCUGGUGACAGGCCCUGGGCUAAUGUCUUGCCUGGUGACGCGCGCAGCUCAUCUGUUGGCUUAUGUGUUGCUCAUGUGUUGCCUGGUGACGCGCGCGGGGCUCAUGUGUUUCCUGGUGAGUGCACUGAGCUCAUGUGUUGCCUGGUGUCACGCGCGGGGCUCAUGUGUUGCCUGGUGACGCGUGCGAGGCUCAUUUGUUGCCUGGUGACGCGCGCGGCUCAUGUUUUGCAUGGUGACGCGAGCAGAGCUCAUAUGUUGCCAGGUGACGUGCGCGGGACUCAUGUGUUCUGUGGUGACGGGCGCGGGGCUCAUGUGUUGCGAGAUGACACGUACGAGGCUCAUUUGUUGCCUGGUGAUGCGUGCGGGGCUCAUGUGUUGCCUGGUGACAGGCCCUGGGCUAAUGUCUUGCCUGGUGACGCGCACGGCUCAUGUGUUGCCCGGAGAUGCCUAUGGGGCUCAUGUGUUGUGAGAUGACGCACGCGGGGCUCAUUUGUUGCCUGGUGAUGCGUGCGGCUCAUAUUUUGCCUGGUGACGGGCGCUGGGCUAAUGGGUUGCCUGGUGACGCGCGCGGCUCAUGUGUUGCCUUGUGAUGGGCGCGGGGCUCAUGUGUUGCCUUGUGAUGGGCGCGGGGCUCAUUUGUUGCCUGGUGACGGGCCCUGGGCUAAUGUUCUGCCUGGUGACGCGCGCGGCUCAUGUGUUGCCCAGCGACGCGUGCGGGGCUCAUGUGUCUCCUGAUGACGCGCACUGGGCUCAUAUGUUGCCUGGUGUCACGUGCGGGGCUCAUUUGUUGCCUGGUGACACGCGCAGGGCUCAUGUGUUGCCUGGUGACAGGCCCUGGGCUAAUGUCUUGCCUGGUGACGCGCGCGGCUCAUCUGUUGGCUCAUGUGUUGCUCAUGUGUUGCUCAUGUGUUGCCUGGUGACGCGCGCGGGGCUCAUGUGUUGCCUGCUGACAUUCACGGGACUCAUGUAUUUCCUGGUGACGCAGGGGGCUCAUGUGUUGCGAGAUGACGCGCGCAGGGCUCAUUUGUUGCCAGGUGACGUGCGCGGGACUCAUGUGUUGUGUGGUGACGGGCGCGGGGCUCAUGUUUUGCAAGGUGACACGUACAGGGCUCAUUUGUUGCCUGGUGACGCGGGCAGGGCUCAUGUGUUGCCCGGCGACGCCUAUGGGGCUCAUGCGUUGCCUGGCUCAUGUGUUCCCUGGGAGAGACACACUCACAGUCUGAGUCCAAAGGCAAAAGUUCCAGAAAGAUUUAGCUUCAGACAUUACUUUUGUCCAAAAUGAGCUAUUAUCAUACUUUUAUUGUAAUGCACCAACACAUUCUGCCAUGCUGCUCAUGGUUACAAUUGGUACAAGUAAAAAGACAAAGGUACAAUACAUCUAACAGACAAAAUAAAAUUUGACAAACAAAUGUAAGAGGAGUUGAGGAUCCUAUUUCUAUGGGAAUGAGCAAUCUAGAUCGAUCUUCAGUUUCACCACAUUAAAAUAUAACUUGAAUUUAGAGUUGUGUUUCUUGCAUAAUAUGUAACCAGACUGCCUGUGUUUGGCACAUUAACACAGUGAUCGCUGCAUCUCCCUUGAAACAACCAUCAGCUGAAAACUUUUGGAAGUGGGUUCCAACUCGCCCUGCAGUUCAUUAUAAGCAACGGCUCCUGUGUGGUCAAUGUCUCCAGCAAUGAGGACUGUACAGCACUCUCUCACUGUCGAAAACAUUCAGAGACGAUCUGCACAGCAGCUCUGUAACUACAGCUUCACUCAUCCAUGGCUGUAUAAUAAUCCUCGCACUUAGCCAGGGCUGUAUAACAGGAUACCCACUAAGAGCUGUGCUCACAGCCCCAUCAUAUGAUAAAAAUGUCCUGUUUGUAGUCUUUUCCUGGUGUCCUUUACAUUGGAUCUUCCCCUGGUCACAAUCUGUGUUCACUGUGUUCUCUCUCACGUCUCUGCUGGUGAAUGUUUAAUGUCUGAGCUUUCAGUCUAGUGUGAGAGUUGAUGCUGGCAGGGACUUCCCCUAAACCUCGCCUCUCCUGAAAGCAAGCAAGCAUAGCAGUCACAUAAUAACAGUAUAAAUCUGCUCCGGAGCUUCAUUCCCAUGAUGUGUGUUAGUGAUAACACUUUCUUUUCACUUCUCUUUAACUUUAAUAUUUCUCUUUAACUUGACGUCUUAUGUGCAGAUUUCAAUAUACUGGGGUGUGAUCUAUGGAUCAUGCUACCAUACUAAUGAAUAUCACAUAGAGGUUCAGUCACCAGGCAACAUAUGAGAACCGCGCACGUCACCAGGCAACACAUGAGCCACUGCGUGCUGGUGCCUGGUGAUGUGCGGCGGGGCUCAUUUGUUACCUUGUGACGAGCGCGGCGCAUGUUUUGCCUGGUGACGUGCGCGGGGCUCAUUUUUUGCCUAAUGAUGCGCGGGGGCCUUGUGUGGCCUGGUGACAGGCGCGGGGCUCAUGCGUUGCCUGGUGUCGCGCGCGGGGCUCAUGCCUUGCCUGGUGACGCACGCGGGGCUCAUUUGUUGCCUGGUGACGCGUGCGGGGCUCAUGUGCUGCGUGGUGACGCACGUGGGGCUCAGGUGUUGACUGGUGACGCGCACGGGGCUUUUGAGAUGACUGGUGACGUGCGGGGCUCAUGUGUUGCGAGGUGAUGCGCGCGGGGCUCAUGCGUUGCCUGGUGUCGCACGCGGUGCUCAUGCGUUGCCUGGUGUCACGCGCGGGGCUCAGGUGCUGCGUGGUGACACGCACGGGGCUCAAGUGUUGCCUGGUGACGCGCGGAGCUCAUGUGUUGCAAAGUGACGCGCACGGGGAUCAUUUGUUGCCUGCCCAGCGCGCGUCACCAGGCCACACAUGAGGCCUGCGUGCAUCACCAGGCAAAAAAUAAGCCCCGCGCGCGUCACAAGGCAACAAAUGAGCCCUGCGCCUGUCACCAGGCAACACAUGAGCCCCGCGCACGUCACCAGGCAACACAUGAGCCCCGCGCACGUCACCAGGCAACACAUGAGCCCCUCGCGCAUUACCAGAUGACAUAUGAGCCCCGCGCGCUUCACCAGGCAACAAAUGAGCCCCCGCGAGCUGGUGCCUGGUGACGUGUGGCGGGGCUCAUUUGUUGCCUUGUGACGCGCGCGGCUUAUGUUUUGCUUGGUGACGCUCGCGGCCCAUGUUUUGCCUGGUGAUGCUCGCGGGGCUAAUGUUUUGCCUGAUGACGCGCGCGGGGCUCAUUUUUUGCCUGAUGAUGCGCGCGGGCCUCAUUUUUUGCCUGGUGAUGCGCGCAGGCCUCAUGUGUGGCCUUGUGACACGCGCUGGGCUCAUGAGUUGCCUAGUGACGGGCACGGGGCUCAUGUGCUGUGUGGUGACACGCGCGGGGCUCAUGUGUUGCCUGGUGACGCGUGGGGCUCAUGUGUUGCCUGGUGACGCGUGGGGCUCAUGUGUUGCGAGGUGACGCGCGCGGGGCUCAUUUGUUGCCUGGUGACGUACACGGCUCAUAUUUUGCCUGGUGACGGGCGCUGGGCUAAUGUGUUGCCUGGUGUCACGCGAGGGGCUCAUGUGUUGCCUGGUGAUGCGCCCCAUGGGCUCAUGUGUUGCCUGGUGACGGGCACUGGGCUAAUGUGUUGCCUGAUGACACACGCGGCUCAUGUGUUGCCUUGUGAUGGGCGUUGCGCUCAUGUGUUGCAAGGUGACACGCGCAGGGCUCAUUCGUGGUGACACACACGGGGCUCAAGUGUUGCCUGGUGACGCGCGGGGCUCAUGUGUUGCAAAAAGACGCGCACGGGGCUCAUUUGUUGCCUGCCCAGCGCGGGUCACCAGGCCACACAUGAGGCCUGCGUGCAUCACCAGGCAAAAAUGUGUUGCCUUGUGAAGGGCGCGGGGCUCAUGUGUUGCGAGGUGACGCACGUGGGGCUCAUUUGUUGCCUGGUGACGCGCGUGGGGCUCAUGUGUUGCAUGGUGACGGGCCCUGGGCUAAUGUCUUGCCUGGUGAUGCGCGCAGGCCUCAUGUGGGGCCUGGUGACGCGCGCUUGGCUCAUGUGUUGCCUGGUGUCGCGCGCGGGGCUGAUGUGUUGCCUGGUGACGCGCGCGGCUCAUGUCCUGCCUGGUGACGCGCCCCAUGGGCUCAUGUGUUGCCUGGUGAUGGGCACUGGGCUAAUGUCUUGCCUGGUGACGCGCGCGGCUCAAGUGUUGCCAGGUGACGUGAGCGGGGCUCAUGUGUUGCGUGGUGACGCGCGCAGGGCUUAAUGUGUUGUCUGGUGACGCGCACGGGGCUCAUGUGUUGCGAGGUGAUGUGCACGGGGCUCAUGUGUUGCGAGGUGAUGCGCACGGGGCUCAUUUGUUGCAUGGUGACGUGCGCGGGGCUUAAUGUGUUGCCUGGUGACGCGCGCGGGGCUCAUGUGUUGCCUGGUGAUGCGCCACAUGGGCUCAUGUGUUGCCUGGUGACGGGCACUGGGCUAAUGUGUUGCCUGAUGACACACGCGGCUCAGGUGUUGACAUUACUUUUGUCCAAGAUGAGCUAUUAUCAUACUUUUAUUGUAAUGCACCAACACAUUCUGCCAUGCUGCUCAUGGUUACAAUUGGUACAAGUAAAAAGACAAAGGUACAAUACAUCUAACAGACAAAAUAAAAUUUGACAAACAAAUAAGAGGAGUUGAGGAUCCUAUUUCUAUGGGAACGAACAAUCUAGAUGGAUCUUCAGUUUCACCACAUUAAAAUAUAACUUGAAUUUAGAGUUGUGUUUCUUGCAUAAUAUGUAACCAGACUGCCUGCGUUUGGCACAUUAAGACAGUGAUCGCUGCAUCUCCCUCGAAACAACCAUCAGCUGAAAACUUUUGGAAGUGGGUUCCAACUCGCCCUGCAGUUCAUUAUAAGCAACGGCUCCUGUGUGGUCAAUGUCUCCAGCAAUGAGGACUGUACAGCACUGUCUCACUGUCGAAAACAUUCAGAGACGAUCUGCACAGCAGCUCUGUAACUACAGCUUCACUCAUCCAUGGCUGUAUAAUAAUCCUCGCACUUAGCCAGGGCUGUAUAAUAGGAUACCCACUAAGAGCUGUGCUCACAGCCCCAUCAUAUGAUAAAAAUGUCCUGUUUGUAAUUUUUUCCUGGUGUCCUUUACAUUGGAUCUUCCCCUGGUCACAAUCUGUGUUCACUGUGUUCUCUCUCACGUCUCUGCUGGUGAAUGUUUAAUGUCUGAGCUUUCAGUCUAGUGUGAGAAUUGAUACUGGCAGGGACUUCCCACUAAGCCUCGCCUCGUACUACCUGAAAGCAAGCAAGCAUAGCAGUCACAUAAUAACAGUACAAACAACAAUAUAUUCUGCGAGCAAAAACAAUAUCUUGAACAAAGUUGAAUAUACUCUUCACAGAAUAAAAGUAUAUAAAGUAAUUGUGUAGAUAUUCCACACAGAACAAAUCCAAAGUUAAACCCUGGUUAUAAAUACUUGCGACGAUGGACCCCAACUUAGAACAGACCUCCUGCCGAAUAAUAAGAUCCUUCGAAAAUGUGUCUAAAAAUGAAAUUUUUGUUUCUAAUUUUGCUGAACUUUUCUUCGGGUAUAUUUUUGCCAAACUGCAAACAGCUCAGUCCGACACAGGAGACUAAGAUAGGAAAUCUGCUCCAGAGCUUCAUUCCCAUGGUGUGUGUUCGGGAUAACACUCUCUUUUCACUUCUUGAAUUUAGAAAUUUUGAUUUAUUUUUUUCACGUUCACUAACUAAUCUGUUUUUAUUUCUAGAGAUCUGAUGAAGAUGUUUUUGAAGUUUGUCCAUUUGACCUCGAGCUACCAAACCUUCCCAAUAUCUUCAACAUCUUAGUAACAUCUAAGGAAUCUCAGGUAGUCCAUUAUUAAUCAUGAAGAACCAUAUUGUGACCCUGCUGUAUUGACCUGUCU